RNAcentral lists this ribosomal RNA (251 nucleotides) under uncultured prokaryote. RNAcentral's name for it is "partial 16S rRNA". It matches the Rfam family "Bacterial small subunit ribosomal RNA", at positions 525 to 775 of the family's 1533-position model. The record is from RNAcentral.
ACGAAGGGAGCUAGCGUUGUUCGGAAUUACUGGGCGUAAAGGGCGCGUAGGCGGUCUAGUUAGUCAGAUGUGAAAUCCCCGGGCUUAACCCGGGAACUGCGUUUGAUACUGCUAGGCUUGAAUUCGGGAGAGGUGAGUGGAAUUCCCAGUGUAGAGGUGAAAUUCGUAGAUAUUGGGAAGAACACCGGUGGCGAAGGCGGCUCACUGGACCGACAUUGACGCUGAGGCGCGAAAGCGUGGGGAGCAAACAG